CCCAAUCAGAAAUAAUAAUAAUUUAAAAAAAAAAAAAAAAAACAUAAUUAAGGCGCCUUAUACUUUUCUCAAUUACAGAUGAAGUGGCAACAUCCUACACUUGAGAAAACUCAAACAGAGAUAUAUAUAGUAGGCAUGUCCAGGUACCAUACUGUUUCUACAACCUUCUAGCAUAGAUUGAUCCCAGGAGGCUUCUAAGUUUACAAGUCUAAAUCUUGAAACCUUAACAUCAAAUCAACUCCAAUCAGGAUGUCUUGAUUUUUGUGUCAGAAUGCUUUAUAAAUGAUUUGAUUAUUUAUAAUCCAUGGGUUAGCAAAGCAAUGGCUAUCCCAUAGAACACAGAACACCCACCUUUAGCAGCGCCGUUGGAUAUCAUCAUUCUCCGCCUCCAAAUUAUGCUAGCUCUUCCCUCCCAACAACAUGCCUAACAAUAAUGAAUCCCAAAACUCGAUACUAAGCACAUAAACCUAGGUGUAAAAUUAGCUCAUUAAAGUAUGACCUAGCCAACUUGUUUAAGUUUGGACGGUUAAUUAUAAAGAUUCAGAUGAGGGGGUCAAAAGAUGAUUAUAUUAAAUCUAGCAACAAGUUUUUGAAUUCAUAAUCUUUUUUCUUUGGUUUCCCAUCCGGUGUCCGGUGCCCGCAUUGAAGUCACAAUAAGUACAUAUAUUACCCAAUUCAUAAUCUACAACUAACUGAAAC
This 699-nucleotide long non-coding RNA is filed under the name Capsicum annuum. Its description in RNAcentral is "long non-coding RNA (CANN_LNC004724)". Lineage: Eukaryota; Viridiplantae; Streptophyta; Magnoliopsida; Solanales; Solanaceae. The record is from RNAcentral.